Molecule: ribosomal RNA, 468 nt
Filed under: uncultured bacterium
Lineage: Bacteria
Description: partial 16S ribosomal RNA
Rfam family: Bacterial small subunit ribosomal RNA
Source: RNAcentral
GACGAACGCUGGCGGCGUGCUUAACACAUGCAAGUCGAACGGAAAGGCCCUGCUUUUGUGGGGUGCUCGAGUGGCGAACGGGUGAGUAACACGUGAGUAACCUGCCCUUGACUUUGGGAUAACUUCAGGAAACUGGGGCUAAUACCGGAUAGGAGCUCCUGCUGCAUGGUGGGGGUUGGAAAGUUUCGGCGGUUGGGGACGGACUCGCGGCUUAUCAGCCUGUUGGUGGGGUAGUGGCUUACCAAGGCUUUGACGGGUAGCCGGCCUGAGAGGGUGACCGGCCACAUUGGGACUGAGAUACGGCCCAGACUGCUACGGGAGGCAGCAGUGGGGAAUAUUGCAUAAUGGGCGGAAGCCUGAUGCAGCAACGCCGCGUGCGGGAUGACGGCCUUCGGGUUGUAAACCGCUUUCGCCUGUGACGAAGCGUGAGUGACGGUAAUGGGUAAAGAAGCACCGGCUAACUACGUG